Suncus etruscus (white-toothed pygmy shrew) is the source of this 211-nucleotide small nucleolar RNA. RefSeq annotates it as small nucleolar RNA U3. NCBI's taxonomy places the organism in Eukaryota, Metazoa, Chordata, Mammalia, Eulipotyphla, Soricidae. The record is from RefSeq and is a predicted model, not a curated record. The transcript has a single exon.
AAGACUAUACUUUCAGGGAUCAUUUCUAUAGUACAUGACUAGAGAAGUUUCUCUGAUCGUGUAGAGAACCCGAAGCCACCAUGCUCUCCUGAGGGUGAAGCCGGCUCUAGGUGUUGCAGAAGGUGUCGCUUCUGCAGCUGCCUCUUGCCAUUGAUGAUCGUUCUCCCUUUCCUUUGGAAGGGGUAGAGGGAGAGGAUUCAGUCUGAGUGGU